RNAcentral lists this transfer RNA (97 nucleotides) under Elusimicrobiota bacterium. Its description in RNAcentral is "tRNA-His". The record is from RNAcentral. Lineage: Bacteria; Pseudomonadati; Elusimicrobiota.
GCGGCUAUGUUGUGCGGGGCGAGCCUGGCUCGCCCCGCACGCAGCAAGAGAGGUUGUGAUCCUCUAAGUACCGGUUCGAAUCCGGUUGGUCGCCCCA